RNAcentral lists this ribosomal RNA (253 nucleotides) under uncultured bacterium. RNAcentral describes it as "partial 16S ribosomal RNA". It matches the Rfam family "Bacterial small subunit ribosomal RNA", at positions 524 to 776 of the family's 1533-position model. The record is from RNAcentral.
UACAGAGGUCCCAAGCGUUGUUCGGAUUCACUGGGCGUAAAGGGUGCGUAGGCGGUCGGGUAAGUCUGAUGUGAAAUCCCGCAGCUUAACUGCGGAACGGCAUUGGAUACUAUUCGGCUCGAGGAGUGGAGGGGAGACUGGAAUUCUCGGUGUAGCAGUGAAAUGCGUAGAUAUCGAGAGGAACACCUGUGGCGAAGGCGAGUCUCUGGACACUUCCUGACGCUGAGGCACGAAAGCCAGGGGAGCAAACGGG